Molecule: ribosomal RNA, 460 nt
Filed under: uncultured bacterium
Lineage: Bacteria
Description: bacterial SSU rRNA
Rfam family: Bacterial small subunit ribosomal RNA
Source: RNAcentral
CCUACGGGUGGCAGCAGUAAGGAAUAUUGGGCAAUGGACGCAAGUCUGACCCAGCCAUGCCGCGUGAAGGAUGAAGGUCCUCUGGAUUGUAAACUUCUUUUAUCUGGGGCGAAAAUCACCUUUUCUAGGGUGCUUGACAGUACCAGAUGAAUAAGCACCGGCUAACUCCGUGCCAGCAGCCGCGGUAAUACGGAGGGUGCAAGCGUUAUCCGGAUUCACUGGGUUUAAAGGGUGCGUAGGCGGGCAAUUAAGUCAGUGGUGAAAUCUUCGAGCUUAACUCGGAAACUGCCGUUGAUACUAUUUGUCUUGAAUACCGUGGAGGUGAGCGGAAUAUGUCAUGUAGCGGUGAAAUGCUUAGAUAUGACAUAGAACACCAAUUGCGAAGGCAGCUCGCUACACGGUCAUUGACGCUGAGGCACGAAAGCGUGGGGAUCAAACAGGAUUAGAUACCCCUGUAGUC